Molecule: non-coding RNA, 291 nt
Organism: Ceratotherium simum simum (southern white rhinoceros)
Lineage: Eukaryota; Metazoa; Chordata; Mammalia; Perissodactyla; Rhinocerotidae
Source: RefSeq, a predicted model, not a curated record
GACCUGGUCACAGAUUUCAGACCAGAAGUCUUGACUUAAAAGCAAAGGGACCACUGCAAAGCGGAAUAAAGUUCGGGAAAAACCAUCUACUGAUAGGAAAAGGUGCAGACUUUCUAUGGGGGAGUAUCCCCAUGAGUGCAGUGAAAGUGAGAAAGCCUUUAGUUACCACUUAUCCUUUAAUCAACAGGCAGCAACUCAAUCCAGAGAGAAACCCCAUGAAUAUAGUCUAUGUGGAAAAGCCACCAAAAGGAAUUCUAACAUUAUUUUGCCCAAGAGAAAUUACACAGGACA